This 24-nucleotide non-coding RNA is filed under the name Arabidopsis thaliana (thale cress). Lineage: Eukaryota; Viridiplantae; Streptophyta; Magnoliopsida; Brassicales; Brassicaceae. The record is from RNAcentral.
AAGCUUACAUACUUUCCCCACCAC